AGAGUUUGAUCAUGGCUCAGGACGAACGCUGGCGGCGUGCUUAACACAUGCAAGUCGGGCGGUAAGGCCCCUUCGGGGGUACACGAGCGGCGAACGGGUGAGUAACACGUGAGCAAUCUGCCCUUCACAUCGGGAUAACCCUCGGAAACGAGAGCUAAUACCGGAUACGACCACCUCGGGCAUCCGAUGGUGGUGGAAAGCUCCGGCGGUGGAGGAUGAGCUCGCGGCCUAUCAGCUUGUUGGUGGGGUAAUGGCCCACCAAGGCAACGACGGGUAGCCGGCCUGAGAGGGUGACCGGCCACACUGGGACUGAGACACGGCCCAGACUCCUACGGGAGGCAGCAGUGGGGAAUAUUGGACAAUGGGCGAAAGCCUGAUCCAGCAACGCCGCGUGAGGGAUGACGGCCUUCGGGUUGUAAACCUCUUUCAGCUCCGACGAAGCGCAAGUGACGGUACCUGCAGGAGAAGGACCGGCCAACUACGUGCCAGCAGCCGCGGUAAUAC
Molecule: ribosomal RNA, 504 nt
Filed under: uncultured bacterium
Lineage: Bacteria
Description: bacterial SSU rRNA
Rfam family: Bacterial small subunit ribosomal RNA
Source: RNAcentral